CCCUUAGAUGUUCUGGACCGCACGCGUGCUACACUGAGUGGAUCAGCGGGUCAGGUUGCGCGAAAGCGUUUCCUAAUCUUGAAAUCCGCUCGUGAUGGGGAUUGACGGUUGCAAUUUUCUGUCAUGAACGAGGAAUACCUUGUAAGCGCGAGUCAUCAUCCCGCGCUGAAUACGUCCCUGCCCUUUGUACACACCGCCCGUCGCUCCUACCGAUUGAGUGGUCCGGUGAGGCUUUGGGAUCUGAGCGGAAAGAGCGUUUCGCUCGUUCUGCCCGGAAAACUCAGUCGAACCUUAUCAUUUAGAGGAAGGAGAAGUCGUAACA
RNAcentral lists this ribosomal RNA (322 nucleotides) under uncultured eukaryote. RNAcentral's name for it is "partial 18S ribosomal RNA". It matches the Rfam family "Eukaryotic small subunit ribosomal RNA", at positions 1470 to 1796 of the family's 1831-position model. The record is from RNAcentral.